GACGAACGCUGGCGGCGUGCUUAACACAUGCAAGUCGAACGGAAAGGCCCUGCUUUUGUGGGGUGCUCGAGUGGCGAACGGGUGAGUAACACGUGAGUAACCUGCCCUUGACUUUGGGAUAACUUCAGGAAACUGGGGCUAAUACCGGAUAGGAGCUCCUGCUGCAUGGUGGGGGUUGGAAAGUUUCGGCGGUUGGGGAUGGACUCGCGGCUUAUCAGCUUGUUGGUGGGGUAGUGGCUUACCAAGGCUUUUACGGGUAGCCGGCCUGAGAGGGUGACCGGCCACAUUGGGACUGAGAUACGGCCCAGACUCCUACGGGAGGCAGCAGUGGGGAAUAUUGCACAAUGGGCGGAAGCCUGAUGCAGCAACGCCGCGUGCGGGAUGACGGCCUUCGGGUUGUAAACCGCUUUCGCCUGUGACGAAGAGUGAGUGACGGUAAUGGGUAAAGAAGCACCGGCUAACUACGUG
This 468-nucleotide ribosomal RNA is filed under the name uncultured bacterium. RNAcentral describes it as "partial 16S ribosomal RNA". It matches the Rfam family "Bacterial small subunit ribosomal RNA", at positions 28 to 507 of the family's 1533-position model. The record is from RNAcentral.